GCCAUACCAGCUUGUCAUAGUCUGAUUUUGUCAGAUCUCAGAACAUAAGGAAGGCCGGGCCUGGUUAGUGCUUGGAUGGGAGACCACUGGGAAUACCUGGUGC
This 103-nucleotide ribosomal RNA is filed under the name Periophthalmus magnuspinnatus. The record is from RNAcentral. Lineage: Eukaryota; Metazoa; Chordata; Actinopteri; Gobiiformes; Gobiidae.